Telopea speciosissima is the source of this 348-nucleotide long non-coding RNA. RefSeq lists it as uncharacterized. The transcript is spliced from 2 exons. NCBI's taxonomy places the organism in Eukaryota, Viridiplantae, Streptophyta, Magnoliopsida, Proteales, Proteaceae. The record is from RefSeq and is a predicted model, not a curated record.
AAUUGGUUGACCCUGGAGGCUGACCCCAUGAUUAAACUGGAGUGCAGCCAUCGAUUGACGGGAUUGAGUUUUACAAUGUUGCAAGUAUGAUCCUAUUUGACUAAGCCCAGUCAUUCAAGAAAAAUUCUUGUAAGAUGCUUUGACCUUGGGAUUGGCUUAUCCCCUGCCCUGUCUAUUACCACUUAUUCUCUCAUCCUAGGAUGUUUUGCAUUGCCUAAUCAUCUAAGAAAGAGACGUACUUAUCCUUGUCAUCCUAACUGCUUUUCAAGUUGCCGUUCUGUCUCCCAAGAUCAUGAAUCUAUAAUAUCAACUGACAAAUAUUCGAUGCCAACUCAACAAAGAAACUGA